GCUUUCCCUUUCCUCUGACCAAGUGACAACUGCUCGGAAACAGACAGGACAGAGAAUCUUAAAAUAGAGCAGCAAAUAUCCGCGGCUCGCCGCCCCGGGCUCUGUGGCACCAUCAGCAGCUUGCGCAGGACACAGACGUCGGCUCACGCGCCGCAGCCCUCGGCCCCGGAAGAGCCGCGGCCGCGGAGCAGCGAACGCGUGCCUGCCAGGGAAAAGCAGUCACCAGGAACGCGGCGUUUUGGUCGGCUGCCCAUCGCCAGCCCUGUCCGCGCGAGAUGCCCUGCUCCGAAGCUCUUGUGAGCUCCGCGGCCUGCGGCUCCGGAAGGCGAAGCUCUUCCAGGAAGCAGCGGCGGCCCCACUGGCCCUCUCAGGCUGCGGAGAAAGGGCGGGAGGCCGCGGGGCUCUCCAGGACUCAGUGGUUUCGGAGAAACUCGACUUCCCAGGCUCGGAGGGCCAGUUUGGGAUUGUUAUAGAACAAAACGUGGGCGGCAUAAAGUGCUCCGAAGUGGAGAUCACCUUGAAGACUGGGCCCUUGGCUCUGUGACCCAGCAGACCCGAAAUUCCAAUCUGGCAAACUUUCAGCCUGACCCUUGGGAAAGGAUCGCUCCCAGAGUGUGGGGGUGGAGGUGAUGGGACAAAGAUCUUAAAAUCCUGAAAAACAACCGUUAUUCUCAACUGAAUUUCUGCUAAGUGCAUCCAUUCAUAAACAGUACGUGCCUGGCGCUCUUUACGUGUAUUAACUGGUUUAAUUCCCACAACCUUAAGUAGGGGCUGUUAAUCUCACAAUUGUAGAGCCACCAUUCAAAGCCAGGCAGUCUGGCCCCAGCCUCUGUGGGCUUAACCACUACCCGCCGCCAAGCAGCUCCUAGGAGCCUGGCAGGGAAAGGCAUGGUGACGACAGCAGACGAGGUCCCUCAAGUAGCUUGCAUUCUGGAAGCGAAGAAAGAUCAUGAACAAGUUUCAAAUUGGUAAAAUAAUUGUCAGUGGAGAUUCAUCCCAUAAAGGAAUUGAGUAAAAGGAAGAACUACUUUCAGUAAGAUGGUUUGGGUUGGAGUUUCUGUUCAUAAGGGCAGAAAUGGACUCUCUCUGACUUAAAGAGAAAAAACUUUGUUAAGAGUUUGGGGUAACCCACAGAAUUAUCAGGAUGUCUCAGAAUACAGACAAGAACAAAGGGAGGCUCCGCAGCCAAAAGUCCCUCCUCUAAACCACUUUGAUGAGGACCAAACAGGUGCUACUGCUGAAAGCUAGACACCACAUCCUACUCCACAACCAACGCUGGAACUCCCCAGACACCCCGCUGGCUCUGCCGCCCCUAAACCGGAUGCGGCAGCCACCGCGGACCCCACAGCGGAUUCUCCACCACCCCAUUUCUUUGCAUUGCAUCACCACCUCCAGAGUGUGCCUAAUUGGCACCCCGCUGCUUCUGAUGCAAAACUCCAAGCUGUACUGGGCAAACGCGCAGCCUCUGGCACCAUUCCCAGUGCUGCUGAGCAUACAGACCUGAGCACAGCGGAGGGGGAGGGCUUGGUGGGGAGGGGGACUUACAAUUCAUCCACGCUGUUGAAAUCCCAUCAAACACACACGACCCAGUUUGGCUGGUGCAGCCUUUUCUCUCCCCUCCUGAUAGCAUUUCAGCCUCUCUUCCAAUAAAAAAUAGUAGCUACUAAUUUUGAGUGCCUGUUUAUAUGCAAAUCUACCACAGAAAUAAGCCUUCAUUUCUGAGGCUAGCCCUUGCAAGGUAGUUAAUUACUCUCCCCAUUUUCAAAUGCAUAAUCUAAAGGCUUAGAGAGGUUAGGAAUCUUGUCCAGGUUCUCCGGUGUAAGAAGGGGUGGAGCCCAAAUUUGAACUCAGGUUUGUAAUGCUCUGGGGAGCACACACUGCCUCCUAAGGGGAAAGGCAAAAAGUUAUCAGCACAGAAGUGAUCCCUGCUCCAAAAUCCCAGCCAUGACAUGUGGGGAGAGGGGACACUCCAUCUGAAUUUAUGACCACGGUCUCUACAGCCCCUGACCCUGCCCACCACCUACAGACCCCUCCUGAUACCCUGACCACUGCAGCCGUCCCAACCUCCCAGGUAGAUGAGCUCUGUGAGGCCACUUGGUUCCUCCCGUGUCAAGGCAGACUCCUCCACCCCGCUGACCUUUAUCCCUCAUAGCUUCCAUAAAGGUCCUCUGAGGUUCUACACCUACGGGUUUACACUGCUACAGGUAAGGCUCACUUUACACAAACACAUAUGUGAGCUGAAUGUUUGUGAAUUGAUUCUAUACUGAUUGGAUUACAUCAUCAUUUCAAAAACCAUUGUUAAUCUCCACCUGCUCUUCAGCUCUCAUUGACAAUCAGGCACUUUAGCUUAAAGUUUUAUUGCCCCCACUUCCUUACUUUUCUUGGCAAGCAGC
Molecule: long non-coding RNA, 2393 nt
Filed under: Homo sapiens (human)
Lineage: Eukaryota; Metazoa; Chordata; Mammalia; Primates; Hominidae
Description: HSALNT0296903
Source: RNAcentral